Molecule: ribosomal RNA, 197 nt
Filed under: uncultured bacterium
Lineage: Bacteria
Description: partial 16S ribosomal RNA
Rfam family: Bacterial small subunit ribosomal RNA
Source: RNAcentral
ACGCUCGACACCUACAGGAGGCAGCAGUGGGGAAUAUUGCACAAUGGGGGAAACCCUGAUGCAGCGACGCCGCGUGAAGGAAGAAGUAUCUCGGUAUGUAAACUUCUAUCAGCAGGGAAGAAAAUGACGGUACCUGACUAAGAAGCCCCGGCUAACUACGUGCCAACAGCCGCGGUAACUGAGCGGGCUGGCAAGGC